RNAcentral lists this ribosomal RNA (497 nucleotides) under uncultured bacterium. RNAcentral's name for it is "partial 16S ribosomal RNA". It matches the Rfam family "Bacterial small subunit ribosomal RNA", at positions 28 to 507 of the family's 1533-position model. The record is from RNAcentral.
GAUGAACGCUGGCGGCGUGCCUAAUACAUGCAAGUCGAGCGAACAGACGAGGAGCUUGCUCCUCUGACGUUAGCGGCGGACGGGUGAGUAACACGUGGAUAACCUACCUAUAAGACUGGGAUAACUUCGGGAAACCGGAGCUAAUACCGGAUAAUAUAUUGAACCGCAUGGUUCAAUAGUGAAAGACGGUUUUGCUGUCACUUAUAGCUGGAUCCGCGCCGCAUUAGCUAGUUGGUAAGGUAACGGCUUACCAAGGCAACGAUGCGUAGCCGACCUGAGAGGGUGAUCGGCCACACUGGAACUGAGACACGGUCCAGACUCCAACGGGAGGCAGCAGUAGGGAAUCUUCCGCAAUGGGCGAAAGCCUGACGGAGCAACGCCGCGUGAGUGAUGAAGGUCUUCGGAUCGUAAAACUCUGUUAUUAGGGAAGAACAAAUGUGUAAGUAACUAUGCACGUCUUGACGGUACCUAAUCAGAAAGCCACGGCUAACUACGUG